RNAcentral lists this microRNA precursor (75 nucleotides) under Otolemur garnettii (small-eared galago). RNAcentral's name for it is "miRNA (ENSOGAG00000032474.1)". The record is from RNAcentral. Lineage: Eukaryota; Metazoa; Chordata; Mammalia; Primates; Galagidae.
UGUGGGACCUGAACUGAGCCAUGCUACUGGCUUCCUUGGCCAUUCAGCUGCCAGAUGGCAUAUCACUGGACUUCU